GCAGAACGCGAAGAACCUUACCAAGGCUUGACAUGGAUUUCUAAGCACGUGAAAGCGUGUGACCCUUCGGGGGACUUCCACAGGUGCUGCAUGGCCGUCGUCAGCUCGUGUCGUGAGAUGUUGGGUUAAGUCCCGCAACGAGCGCAACCCUUGUGAACAGUUGCCAGCGCGUCAUGGCGGGAACUCUGUUCAGACUGCCCAGAUCAACUGGGAGGAAGGUGGGGACGACGUCAGGUCAGUAUGGCCCUUACGCCUCGGGCUGCACACGUACUACAAUGCCCAGCACAAUGAGAACCGAUGCCGCGAGGUGGAGGAAAUCUGCAAAACUGGGCUCAGUUCGGAUUGGAGGCUGCAACUCGCCUCCAUGAAGUUGGAAUCGCUAGUAAUGGGGCAUCAUCUACGGCCCCGUGAAUACGUUCCCGGGUCUUGUACACACCG
RNAcentral lists this ribosomal RNA (438 nucleotides) under uncultured bacterium. Its description in RNAcentral is "bacterial SSU rRNA". It matches the Rfam family "Bacterial small subunit ribosomal RNA", at positions 954 to 1392 of the family's 1533-position model. The record is from RNAcentral.